UCUCUUACCAUUUCAAAAACU
RNAcentral lists this non-coding RNA (21 nucleotides) under Caenorhabditis elegans. The record is from RNAcentral. Lineage: Eukaryota; Metazoa; Nematoda; Chromadorea; Rhabditida; Rhabditidae.